RNAcentral lists this ribosomal RNA (253 nucleotides) under uncultured bacterium. RNAcentral describes it as "partial 16S ribosomal RNA". It matches the Rfam family "Bacterial small subunit ribosomal RNA", at positions 524 to 776 of the family's 1533-position model. The record is from RNAcentral.
UACGGGGGGGGCAAGCGUUGUUCGGAAUUACUGGGCGUAAAGGGCUCGUAGGUGGCCAACUAAGUCAGACGUGAAAUCCCUCGGCUUAACCGGGGAACUGCGUCUGAUACUGGAUGGCUUGAGUUUGGGAGAGGGACGCGGAAUUCCAGGUGUAGCGGUGAAAUGCGUAGAUAUCGUAAGGAAGACCAGUGGCGAAGGCGGGUCUCUGGACAGUUCCUGACGCUGAGGCACGAAGGUCAGGGGAGCAAACGGG